This 253-nucleotide ribosomal RNA is filed under the name uncultured bacterium. RNAcentral describes it as "partial 16S ribosomal RNA". It matches the Rfam family "Bacterial small subunit ribosomal RNA", at positions 524 to 776 of the family's 1533-position model. The record is from RNAcentral.
UACGUAGGGGGCAAGCGUUGUCCGGAAUCAUUGGGCGUAAAGCGCGCGUAGGCGGCCCGGUAAGUCUGCUGUGAAAGUCAGGGGCUCAACCCUUGAAAGCCAGUGGAUACUGUCGGGCUAGAGUCCGGAAGAGGCGAGUGGAAUUCCUGGUGUAGCGGUGGAAUGCGCAGAUAUCAGGAGGAACACCAAUUGCGAAGGCAGCUCGCUGGGACGGUACUGACGCUGAGGUGCGAAAGCGUGGGGAGCAAACAGG